ACAACACAUGGCACACAAAGACACCAAUCAACAGGCAAAUUCCAUUUAAAUCAUACCAUAAUUUUAGCAGUGGUGAUAGAUUUCCGGAACUCCGGGUUUUUACUCUGCGUGGUGAAAAUUUCCGGGUUAUUUUUGAGAACAUACGUCAAAAUCCAUUCAUUCAGUUCCACGCCCAAAGAGUUGGUGGCGGUAAUGCUCUGUGUUGGUUUGCAAGCAGUUAAUAAUCUCCAAAGAAGGGUUAGUUUUUUUUGGGGUUAAGGGAGUUUAUUAAGUCAUAUUUUGGGGGACUGCGCUGUGAUUCACCGAACGUUUUACUUUGUUGAAGACAUUAAAAGUUUGCGCUGCAUUUUUUCCCCCCAGUAAUCUUGCAUUAAGUGGAGUUAGCGAGUGAAACUAAAAAUACUAACGCUGUUAGCAUACAAACGACAGUUUAACUCUGUCUGUGAUUCAUAACCACAAGACUGAGUUUGAGCAAUGAAGCUUCUGCAAAUGUGUCUGAGCUCUACCUCAAAAUGCCUACUAGCAUUCAACAUCAGUCUGGAAGCCUUUCAACACCAGAAGCCUUCGUUCCAUCGGUUCCUCUGGGAUGCAACACUCCUGAAUCAAAGACACACAACAACACACAUGACUCUGAGACCUGCAGCCUUAAAGUACCUGGGGGGUGGCAGGACAGAUGCUGUUGACCAAGACUAGAGGAAAGUGAACUCACAGGGGCCUCUGGGAAGUCCAUGCUCUCCGUUUGGAGUGGAGAAUGAACGCUGGACGCAUACUCGUCUAAGAUGUCAGGGUCUGCUACACAAAAACACACAAAAGCAUCGUGAUGUUUGUACAAAAUGACCUCCGUACAUUACUUUCUGUUUUCACCUGAUCUGACCUGCGAUGUGACCUGAGUCCAGGUAAUCCACGGCAUCCUGGUACACAUCCAUCAGACGUUUUGUAGUCACUGAGGACUUGAAACUCUGUAAGUGUCAACACACCCAACUGGUUUUUCAAAACUUCCCCUUUCUCAUCGGGCCGCCUAAAAGGGAAAAAACAACUUCCUCUCUGCUCGACCAAAAGUCAACCGGACCUGACACCUGAAAUAUAACCCCGUUUCACUUUCAACAAAAGUGUAAAAACAUGCAGACUUCUAUUCCAAAGGUGACCACUUUACUACUUAUUUUUUUGUUGUUUUUUUUUAUGAACUGUAUUAUUCUGCAUGAAGUUGCAAAAGGUUAACAUCUUUAUUUAUUGUAAAACUAAAGGAUCAUGAGCAUUUUCAGGAAGCUAACAUAGCGGCUGCUUUAAAAUAAAUAUUAAAAUUUGUAGAAGCAUACACCAUGGGCAGUGAGGUGAUGCAUCCUACAACAAAUAAUCAGAUAUUUAAGAUCUGACUAUGUGCCUGUUACUUUAAAGCACACUGGAACAUCUGUGACAUAUGUCAUGUUAGUUUAAAAUAAGAUGUUUCAGGCCUAAGAUGUAUUUAAAUUGAGAUAGCUUCUACAUACAUAAGUGUAUUAACUGAAGGAUUUGGGGGGAUGUUCAUCAUGAAACCUCAACUGUAUUGAAGUGUAAAAUGUUAAUAACAUUGAGGUUGCAGAAUUUUCACCUUUAAGGUUCACCAAAAGUACACUAAAAAUCCCCUUGUGGCUUUUUCAAAAUCCAAGAUGGCAUUCAAAAUGGCCACCAUUUCACUUAUGUGUUUGAUUCUAAAAAAGAUAAAACCUAAUUUAACUUUCUAAAUGUAUGUAUUAAGGCAUAAUAAACUCUUUACAAUCAUUAUAUAGAAGUUUCGAGAAUUAGAAAUGUCAGAACCUAAGGUGGCAGCCAUAUUGGAAUCUUAAGUGGCUGCCAUUUUUUCCUUCCCACUGUAGUCAAGUGCUUGCUCACAGGGGGUCGUUUUGACCGUUGGGGUUUUACAUAAUUAUUGUAUGGCCUUGCCUUACAAUAUAAAGCGCCUUGGGGCAACUGUUUGUUGUGAUUUGGCGCUAUAUAAAAAACAUUGAUUGAUUGAUUGAUCGUUCACACAUUUUUGCAUCUAGAAAGGUGCGAUACCUGAUUUAAGUAUCUUUAUACAUGUUUUAAGGCAUGAGAAACUACACAGUCACAAACAAGCAAACAAAAAAAUCUUAAUGGCAUAAAAAUGACCAAUAAAUGGGUAAAGCAAAGCAAUCAUGAGAUUGAUA
Thalassophryne amazonica is the source of this 2165-nucleotide long non-coding RNA. RefSeq lists it as uncharacterized. The transcript has 4 exons. Lineage: Eukaryota; Metazoa; Chordata; Actinopteri; Batrachoidiformes; Batrachoididae. The record is from RefSeq and is a predicted model, not a curated record.